Molecule: RNA transcript, 978 nt
Organism: Xyrauchen texanus (razorback sucker)
Lineage: Eukaryota; Metazoa; Chordata; Actinopteri; Cypriniformes; Catostomidae
Gene name: tetraspanin-1-like
Exons: 8
Source: RefSeq, a predicted model, not a curated record
GUUCUACACACCUGAAAGCAUCGUUCACCUGUGCACAGGAAUAAGGGAAAUCUGACAAAAUGUGCUGCAAAGGCUUUAUCAAAACGAUGAUGUUCAUCUUCAAUGGUGUCAUCUUUUUGGCAGGUGUUGUGUUACUGGCGGUAGGAAUCUGGGUGAGUGUCGACCGCAUGUCCCUUCUGGGAUUUUUAGACAAUAUUGAUAACGCACCCCCUGAGCUGGCACAGCUGGCCAACAUUGGCUAUGUGUUGAUCGCGGUGGGUGUGUUCCUGGCUCUUGUGGGUUUCCUAGGAUGUUGCGGGGCGAUUCAGGAGAGCAGGUGUAUGCUCCUCAGUUUCUUCAUCAUCGUGCUCAUCAUCUUCAUCGUGGAGGUGGCAGCAGCUAUAUUUCUCUUUGUCUUUCAGCCUGUGGCUGAGAAAUUACUGGAGGACAUUGGACAGCAAGUGUCUAAAAGCAUCAGUGAUAAAUAUGGAGCAGACGAGCGUUUCACUGGAGUCUGGAAUAACACUAUGGAUGAGCUGCGUCGCUGUGGAUAUAACAACUACACUGACUUCAUGGGCUCUCCAUUUUUCGAAGAAUUAUCACUAUAUCCAGAGAUGUGCUGCAGAGUGAAUAUUACACGCUGUGAUCAAUCUGCAGCAAAUGUAUCUAUCGGGUACAGUGGGCUGUUUUAAGGCAUUAGUGACUCUGGUUGAGGAAAAUGCAAUUCUGCUGGCAGGUGUGGCCAUUGGAAUCGCCGUUUUAGAGAUUGCAGCUAUGGUCGUUUCGAUGGUCCUCUACAAGACUGUAGGAAAAUGAUUAAUCCUCUGGGGUCUGAGGGUGUUUUGGGCCCUGGAGAAGUUUUGACAUGCCUUGACAUUUGUGCUUUUUUCAGUUGAUUAAAAACACAUUAAUGGCUAAAGUCUGAUAACACUGUAUUCAGCACAAACUGGACUACAAUAAUAUGUGAGCAACAUGUGUGUACAUGUUUGUAUUUUUGAC